GACGAACGCGGGCGGCGUGCUUAACACAUGCAAGUCGAACGAAGAGCGAUGGAAGCUUGCUUCUAUCAAUCUUAGUGGCGAACGGGUGAGUAACGCGUAAUCAACCUGCCCUUCAGAGGGGGACAACAGUUGGAAACGACUGCUAAUACCGCAUACGAUCUAAUCUCGGCAUCGAGGAUAGAUGAAAGGUGGCCUCUACAUGUAAGCUAUCACUGAAGGAGGGGAUUGCGUCUGAUUAGCUAGUUGGAGGGGUAACGGCCCACCAAGGCGAUGAUCAGUAGCCGGUCUGAGAGGAUGAACGGCCACAUUGGGACUGAGACACGGCCCAGACUCCUACGGGAGGCAGCAGUGGGGAAUCUUCCGCAAUGGACGAAAGUCUGACGGAGCAGCGCCGCGUGAGUGAUGACGGCCUUCGGGUUGUAAAGCUCUGUUAAUCGGGACGAAAGGCCUUC
RNAcentral lists this ribosomal RNA (452 nucleotides) under Veillonella parvula. RNAcentral describes it as "bacterial SSU rRNA". It matches the Rfam family "Bacterial small subunit ribosomal RNA", at positions 28 to 457 of the family's 1533-position model. Lineage: Bacteria; Bacillati; Bacillota; Negativicutes; Veillonellales; Veillonellaceae. The record is from RNAcentral.